AUUAGAAAGAGAAAUCCGACCCACAUUAUGUUAGGGCAGAUCUUCCAUUAUAAAUAGAGGCUAUGUACCUUUUUUUUAAAGACCAAUGAAAGAAAGGGGGAGUUAAAGUCCUACUUUCGAGAAUCCUCUAUUUCUUAUAGUUUUUCUUUUGAGAGAUUCGAGAAUCCUCUAUUCAUGGUCCAAAUGCGUGAGUGGUACAAGCAGUGAAGGAUUAUUCAUACUUGAAGUACGUUAAAGGAUAAAGGCGAGUAUAACUGCUACUUCUACCUUGACGGAUGAUGAGAUAAUGAAACAUCUCACACAACUUGAGAAAAAGAUAGCCCAACUCAUUGAGAUCGUGUCUCGAUUGGCGACACCUUCAACACGAGCCCAAGUAACUUUAUAUUCGGGCAAAACUAAGUGGUUCAACCGUGAGGCGGGAAAGUAAGCAUUUUUCUAUUUUCAAUUUUGAUUUAGCAAGUGCUAAAUCUCCUAAACAAGAAAAGUUGAUCUAGGAGGACCAUUGGAUUCGAUGUAAACCAUUUUGGCCACUAUGAGUAUUCAGAAGGAUCACCAAACUUGAUGUGGGUUGCUUUGGCCACUACGAGUAUCCAAAAAAAUUACCAAACUCGAUGUGGAAUACUUUAACCACUUCGAGUAUUUAGAAGGAUCACUAGACUCGAUGUAAAAUACUUUAGCUACUACGAGCAGGGCUGGACGGUGUUUAGGAGCGAGACCCGCCAUAUUGGAAAGCCGAGUUGCAGGCCAAACUUUAGGAGGUCAUAAUUUGGUCAUAUGAUGCCCAAUUGAGAUGAUCUUUUUUUAGAAUUGGGUAUCUUUUC
RNAcentral lists this long non-coding RNA (821 nucleotides) under Phoenix dactylifera (date palm). Its description in RNAcentral is "long non-coding RNA (PDAC_LNC004233)". Lineage: Eukaryota; Viridiplantae; Streptophyta; Magnoliopsida; Arecales; Arecaceae. The record is from RNAcentral.